RNAcentral lists this unclassified non-coding RNA (250 nucleotides) under plant metagenome. RNAcentral describes it as "partial contains small subunit ribosomal RNA, internal transcribed spacer 1, and 5.8S ribosomal RNA". The record is from RNAcentral.
GUAGGUGAACCUGCGGAGGGAUCAUUAACACGUAUCCAAACGUUUAAACCAAACCCGUGCUCCUUAUGUUCCCAUCUGAUUCAAGUGAUUCCGUAAGCCAUAGAUGGAUUCCUAUAGCAAUCAAAGGCGCAAGUCUUUCUUUCUUAGGUCUGCUUACGAAAUCUGCGAGUACUUCGAUACUCAGCUUGAGUUAGAAUGGCGUAUCCCCUUGAGCCAUCUGGUUAUUAAGCCAAACCGGUUUCGACCCGGA